Molecule: ribosomal RNA, 681 nt
Filed under: Polaromonas jejuensis
Lineage: Bacteria; Pseudomonadati; Pseudomonadota; Betaproteobacteria; Burkholderiales; Comamonadaceae
Description: bacterial SSU rRNA
Rfam family: Bacterial small subunit ribosomal RNA
Source: RNAcentral
AGUAAUAUAUCGGAACGUGCCCAGUCGUGGGGGAUAACGUAGAGAAAUUUACGCUAAUACCGCAUACGAUCUACGGAUGAAAGCGGGGGAUCGCAAGACCUCGCGCGAUUGAAGCGGCUGAUAUCAGAUUAGGUUGUUGGUGAGGUAAAAGCUCACCAAGCCGACGAUCUGUAGCUGGUUUGAGAGAACGACCAGCCACACUGGGACUGAGACACGGCCCAGACUCCUACGGGAGGCAGCAGUGGGGAAUUUUGGACAAUGGGCGAAAGCCUGAUCCAGCAAUGCCGCGUGCAGGAAGAAGGCCUUCGGGUUGUAAACUGCUUUUGUACGGAACGAAACGGUCCUUUCUAAUAAAGAGGGCUAAUGACGGUACCGUAAGAAUAAGCACCGGCUAACUACGUGCCAGCAGCCGCGGUAAUACGUAGGGUGCGAGCGUUAAUCGGAAUUACUGGGCGUAAAGCGUGCGCAGGCGGUUCUAUAAGACAGAUGUGAAAUCCCCGGGCUCAACCUGGGAAUGGCAUUUGUGACUGUAGAGCUAGAGUACGGUAAAGGGGGGAUGGAAUUCCGCGUGUAGCAGUGAAAUGCGUAGAUAUGCGGAGGAACACCGAUGGCGAAGGCAAUCCCCUGGACCUGUACUGACGCUCAUGCACGAAAGCGUGGGGAGCAAACAGGAUUAGAUAC